AAACCAACCGGGAUUGCCUUAGUAACGGCGAGUGAAGCGGCAAAAAGCUCAAAUUUGAAAUCUGGUACCUUCGGUGCCCGAGUUGUAAUUUGGAGAGGGCAACUUUGGGGCCGUUCCUUGUCUAUGUUCCUUGGAACAGGACGUCAUAGAGGGUGAGAAUCCCGUGUGGCGAGGAGUGCGGUUCUUUGUAAAGUGCCUUCGAAGAGUCGAGUUGUUUGGGAAUGCAGCUCUAAGUGGGUGGUAAAUUCCAUCUAAAGCUAAAUAUUGGCGAGAGACCGAUAGCGAACAAGUACAGUGAUGGAAAGAUGAAAAGAACUUUGAAAAGAGAGUGAAAAAGUACGUGAAAUUGUUGAAAGGGAAGGGCAUUUGAUCAGACAUGGUGUUUUGUGCCCUCUGCUCCUUGUGGGUAGGGGAAUCUCGCAUUUCACUGGGCCAGCAUCAGUUUUGUGGCAGGAUAAAUCCAUGGAAUGUAGCUUGCCUCGGUAAGUAUUAUAGCCUGUGGGAAUACUGCC
RNAcentral lists this ribosomal RNA (512 nucleotides) under uncultured Saccharomyces. RNAcentral's name for it is "eukaryotic LSU rRNA". It matches the Rfam family "Eukaryotic large subunit ribosomal RNA", at positions 62 to 570 of the family's 3401-position model. The record is from RNAcentral. Lineage: Eukaryota; Fungi; Ascomycota; Saccharomycetes; Saccharomycetales; Saccharomycetaceae.